UUGUUUUUUUUAAUUGUUUAAAUAGAUAGGGACAGUGCAUAUUAAUGGACAUCAGUGCAAGUACACAUUGUAAAUAUGCUAGAGUAGGCACCAUAGCUAAUUUUCAUCUAUUGUACCAAGGCAGAUUAUUAAAAAA
This is a long non-coding RNA of Etheostoma cragini (Arkansas darter), 136 nucleotides long. RefSeq lists it as uncharacterized. The transcript is spliced from 3 exons. The record is from RefSeq and is a predicted model, not a curated record. NCBI's taxonomy places the organism in Eukaryota, Metazoa, Chordata, Actinopteri, Perciformes, Percidae.